AACCUUUUCUCCCUGGUGGAGGAACCACUUGCAUGAGAAUAAGAGGUUGUUCCCCAGGCCAUCAGACUCCAAACAGUUAUGCAACUGGAGCCUCCUGAGGAUGACCCCUUCUGCCUGGGACCCUUAGAUCAGCCUCUAGAGAAGCUUUGACUGCUGUUUCCCCAAAACAGCACCCCCUGCCAUCAGGAAGCAAAAGCCAUGUUGGUUCACCACAUGUAUCGCAUCCUGAUAAUGUGAAGUGAAAAAGUAGAGCCUGGAAGCCUUUGUAAGAUGACUGUGCCAGAGGAGGAAGAUAAAUAUCUCGAUGCUAUGGAGGCCUGUCAGCUCUUUGAAGUAUCUGGGCAAUAUCAAGAUUUCUACUUCAGAUGAAAAAACAAAUAGUUAUUCAUUGACCCUGUUGCCGCCAAGAAAGAGGUGAAAGGUGAACCCCCAACCCACGGAAAGAUCCAGCCAAGUAAGGAACUGCAAAAUAUUGAAUGACUAAUUCUCCAAACAAGGAGAACAAGAAGAUUUAUACUAGCCAUGCAAGGAAUCUUUGGAAGUCUAACAGACCUGACUUGAAGAGAAGGCUUUAAAC
This 577-nucleotide long non-coding RNA is filed under the name Homo sapiens (human). RNAcentral's name for it is "novel transcript, antisense to THSD7A". Lineage: Eukaryota; Metazoa; Chordata; Mammalia; Primates; Hominidae. The record is from RNAcentral.